CAAGGUCUCCGUAGGUGAACCUGCGGAGGGAUCAUUACACAAAUAUGAAGGCGGGCUGGAACCUCUCGGGGUUACAGCCUUGCUGAAUUAUUCACCCUUGUCUUUUGCGUACUUCUUGUUUCCUUGGUGGGUUCGCCCACCACUAGGACAAACAUAAACCUUUUGUAAUUGCAAUCAGCGUCAGUAACAAAUUAAUAAUUACAACUUUCAACAACGGAUCUCUUGGUUCUGGCAUCGAUGAAGAACGCAGCGAAAUGCGAUAAGUAGUGUGAAUUGCAGAAUUCAGUGAAUCAUCGAAUCUUUGAACGCACAUUGCGCCCUUUGGUAUUCCAAAGGGCAUGCCUGUUCGAGCGUCAUUUGUACCCUCAAGCUUUGCUUGGUGUUGGGCGUCUUGUCUCUAGCUUUGCUGGAGACUCGCCUUAAAGUAAUUGGCAGCCGGCCUACUGGUUUCGGAGCGCAGCACAAGUCGCACUCUCUAUCAGCAAAGGUCUAGCAUCCAUUAAGCCUUUUUUCAACUUUUGACCUCGGAUCAGGUAGGGAUACCCGCUGAACUUAAGCAUAUCAAUAA
Molecule: ribosomal RNA, 568 nt
Filed under: Alternaria alternata
Lineage: Eukaryota; Fungi; Ascomycota; Dothideomycetes; Pleosporales; Pleosporaceae
Description: eukaryotic LSU rRNA
Rfam family: 5.8S ribosomal RNA (bases 203-356)
Source: RNAcentral